GCCUCGGUGGCUUAGGGGUAUAGCGCGUCCUGCUUAGGGGUAUAGCGCGUCCUUGGUAAGGACGAGGUCGAGGGUUCAAAUCCCUCCCGGGGCU
Molecule: transfer RNA, 94 nt
Filed under: Candidatus Methanoperedens sp.
Lineage: Archaea; Methanobacteriati; Methanobacteriota; Methanomicrobia; Methanosarcinales; Candidatus Methanoperedentaceae
Description: tRNA-Thr
Rfam family: tRNA
About the family: Transfer RNA (tRNA) molecules are approximately 80 nucleotides in length. Their secondary structure includes four short double-helical elements and three loops (D, anti-codon, and T loops).
Source: RNAcentral